UGUUGGGAUACUACCCUUGUUUGAAGGAUGCUCUAACCUCGACCUGUAAGCCAGGCCAGGGACAGUGUCAGGUGGGCAGUUUGACUGGGGCGGUCGCCUCCUAAAGUGUAACGGAGGCGCUCAAAGGUUCCCUCAGAAUGGUUGGAAAUCAUUCGCAGAGGGUAAAGGGAUAAGGGAGCUUGACUGCGAGAGAGACAACUCGAGCAGGUAGGAAACUAGGACUUAGUGAU
RNAcentral lists this ribosomal RNA (230 nucleotides) under Lactobacillus crispatus. Its description in RNAcentral is "partial 23S ribosomal RNA". It matches the Rfam family "Bacterial large subunit ribosomal RNA", at positions 2190 to 2419 of the family's 2925-position model. Lineage: Bacteria; Bacillati; Bacillota; Bacilli; Lactobacillales; Lactobacillaceae. The record is from RNAcentral.